AACAGUUCAUCGUAUCAUCCCAUCACUCAAAUUCACAAAGAACAAACCAACCCUUUUCAAUCAUCAGUCAUUUUCUUCUGCUUUCAGACCGAAAUUCUUCCUUCAAUCCUUUCUCCUUCUUCCUCUUCCUCCACAGAUUUCCUGGUAUGCACCUUAUCCAUUUCUCAAUUCCCCCCCACACAUCUCUUUCAGCUCCCCUCUUUGAUGGGUUCCUUUCUGAUCCAUUCUUAGGGUUCUUUCUAG
RNAcentral lists this long non-coding RNA (243 nucleotides) under Linum usitatissimum (flax). RNAcentral describes it as "long non-coding RNA (LUSI_LNC000484)". The record is from RNAcentral. Lineage: Eukaryota; Viridiplantae; Streptophyta; Magnoliopsida; Malpighiales; Linaceae.